CACCGCCUUCUAUUUAUUUUUUUUGGUCAGUGGUUGUUCCUAAGCAACUACUUAGCAGAUCCUUCCUGUCUGUCAGCGUUAGGGCCAAUAAGCAGGCAGUCACAGCUCAUCGCCCCACCCCAGCCCCUGUCCCGAGCUCAAGAGCUCCAGUACGCUUGCGCAGAAGUCUCAGGCACUCUGACCAGAGCGAGUGAGCUGGAGAAACCGAGUCACACCCGAGUUCGCUUCUGUCUUUAGCCGUCUGUAGCACAGCUCCAAGUUGCAGUCCCGGCCGGCCGCCCGCCCGCGGUGGUUCACAGUGUGUUGGGAAAGAAGGGAAGUGGAAAGUGGAAAGACUAUAUGGGACCUCGUCUAGCAAGCUGACACAGCAGCCUCCAGAGGGAGUGAAGUUUCCUGUCUACUGCUAGGUUUUAAAGACAAAAGUUACAGGAUUACAUCAGUAGGUACAGGUUGGUUUCUGAUUGGUUAACAUUUGGGGAACAAUCAAGAGAUUUUUCAAAGUCAUAUUUUUGGCGUGUAAUACCCGUGUACCCAUUUUUCUCAGAGGUUGGUAGUGGGAGGGAACAUUCUGUGGUUUCUAUGGCUUUCAGGUGGUCUAUUGUACCAAUAUUUUUCAGAAUUGAAUUUCCUGGAGACUACAAGGGAGUUUCUUUGGCAGUCAAACAAUCCCCAGGAUGCAAGUACCAAGGAGGCUAGGGGUGUUUGGAGUUCCUUUGUGUUCAGUUUUGGUUCUAAGCCUGUUGUAUACAACAUAGUCUCUAGGAGUGAAGGCUGGCAGAAGGGUUGAUCUGGAGUUUCGUCUCUUCAAUUAUGUAUAGUGUUCUGCCUGCAUGUAUCCCUACAGGCCAGAAGAGGGCACCAGAUCCUAUUACACAUGGUUGUGAGCCAUCAUGUGACUGCUGGGAAUUGAACUCAGGACCUCUGGAUGGGCAGCAUACUUUCAAGGCCUGCAGUCCAGACUCCCCCUGCCACAGACUUGUGUCCUUGGAACAUAUCCUGCCAAGACCAAGCUCCCUGCUUCAAAGCAAUAGCCUCUCCCACCUAACCACGCCCCUGCUCUGCCAAGCUUCCUGCUUCAACCACUGUAAGAAUCCUUGUGAGAAAAUAAAAAAUUGCAGCUUGAUCAGAGAGCCUA
Molecule: long non-coding RNA, 1135 nt
Organism: Mesocricetus auratus (golden hamster)
Lineage: Eukaryota; Metazoa; Chordata; Mammalia; Rodentia; Cricetidae
Exons: 3
Source: RefSeq, a predicted model, not a curated record